AGCUGGCUAAGCGUUCAGCUAGUACAGACCACACAGGAAAAAAAGAACUUUUACACCAAGUCUACCAAUAAUAACCUCAUGGUUAACAUAUUUAGUGCUGGGGGGACCUCUGAGCUACUACCUCAUGCCCAUCUCCCCAUUUUACAGAUAAGGAACUUGAGGUCCAAAGAGGGUAGGGGAAAGGGGACAACCAAUAUUAAGACAUGGAAUUGGAAAACUAGACCAAUAAAGCUAGAUCAUAGAGUUUGUGAAGGGAUGCAAUUCUCUCUUGCCUUCAUAUUUUUUGCCUUAUUCUUUAUGAUUUAAUAAAAUCAUUUAAUUUAUGGCCAGUAUCAUAAUUUUCCUUCUUAGGUAAGGCAACAACAAUAUAAACCAUUACAAAACUGGUAUUCAUGGACGAAGAUCUAAUAAUUACUCCAAAUUAGAUUGUUUUCUACUGAAAGAAUAUUGAAAACCCUCUAGGAAAAAACCACAAAGAGACUCCAGGACUGUGUUGGUGAACCUAAGUCGCACAGCUGGAGGGCCUGCUCUCCUCCCUCUCUCCACCAUGCCUGAGAAUAUUUUUCACAUCAUCAGCCCUUCUGUCCAGCAGUCCAAUGGGAGUGCUUCCUCCCUCUUCCCUGUCUGAGUCAACAUUUUGGAGGUCCCACCAAGAUCUGAAGUCCUGGCUGCCUGAGCUUCCCUCCUGACGAGGUACCCACACAACCCAUUUGAGGUUGAGUCAGGAGUCCGAUUAGCAGAGGGGCCAGCUAAGUGGAUUUUGGAGGAAGGACUCGUGUCUCGUGUAUUUGGGAUUGACUCACUCUUUAAUUAAGGGAUUGUUAAACUGGAGUCUGUGGGGUACACAGAGAGCCGCAUAGUCCAGAGCUACCGGGUGCUGCUGGACAUGGGUAACAGCUUGUCUAUAAUCCCAAAAAUUGAGGUGGGGGCAGCUGGCAACCCUAGGAACCACCUAAUGAUACGACUGUUUUUAAGAUUUGGGCCUAAUGCAGGGAAAGGUUUAGAGAAGAUGAGAAGAUGGCAGGCGAUGGCAGAGUCUGGCCCCGAUGCGUAUUGGACAACAUGGAGUCUAGUUCAACCUGGCUACAAUCUCCGAGCUUUAUUAGAUUUUGGGUGUCUGUGUGUUGAUGCCUAUGUGAGUACAGCAGUGUAUAUGCUAGAGGUGAGGGCAAGGAGAGUAAUUCAGAGGCAUGAAUGGUUGGCUGAAAGUUGGAGUGUGAGUUGGAGUGCGAGUCUGAGGGUUCAACUGAAAUUCCGGGUAACUGCUUUAAGUUGAUUAAAAUAGAGAAAGUUUCUUCAUGAAUUGAAAUGCCACAGUUUAAAGGGUUAAAUGGUUAUAAUUUUUUUUUUAAUGAAAGAGCUUCUCAUAGAAGCUUAAGAACUUAAGUUCUGUAUUUCUUCUCAGUUUUCUGUGGGUUUUUGCAUAUAUUGUAUGUCUAGUGUAUUUCCUAGUGUAUUCUUCACCAAUAAUUUCAAAUGCUUGUGAUUUAAAGGUUAGCAAAUAAAGUCUGAAAGUUGUGUUAACAAUGAAUUCCUCCCAAAAGUUGAAGAGGCAAGACGGGAGCUGGCGAUCUGAUUAUGUGAAUAUCCAGCAGGAGGCAAAAGGAGGUUCAGAAAUUCUUAAUUUUAAGGUCUAAUUUUUUUCUUCCCUAAGUUUUGGUAUGGUUAAUAUGUGAAAUAUUUUGUAUCAAGUGCAAUUAAUAUUGGUAAUAAGAUGCAUUUUAUUCUAGGUAUUAACUUUGUUAUUUGAGUGCUAUAAUUUUACUUUUUUUUUCAAGCUGUUAAGUGUUUUCAAAUAGCAAGAUUUUUCUGAAAUGCAUGUGUGAGUUCUGGAGUGAAGAAAUUUCAUUUUACGAUGGUCAGCUACAGACCUGACUGAUUGUUGAAUUGGUAUAAAUGACAAGAAAUAUUGGGGGAAAGGCAUUGCUUUAAAUGGUAAGGAAACCCUGAACAUUUUUAAACUGACCAACAAAUUUCCUCUCUAGGAGCAGCUUUAGCCUUAGGCCAAAGUGAUUUGAGGAAAGGCAAAUUUGAAGAUAAAGGUAAAUUAGAGUAAAAAAAAGUGAAAGAGAAGGGAAUUGUAGAGGUAUUCAAAGUUAAAGGUAAUUUUUAAGCUUUUCCUUAGUAACCCUAAGUUUUGUGUUUAGAAAAAAAAAUGUUACAGGUUUAGUUUUUGAAAAAGUAAAAGAAUCAUGAACUAUAACCUAACCUGAUUUUUGAAAUUUUUAAGGUAAAUUUCCAGAAUGCAACCGUUACAAUAGAUAGGUUUUUGUUGUAAGAGACCAGUGAAUACUGAUAACUAAUUUUCCUUUUUAAGUAGAGAGAACUAAUGGUUUUGUGAGCAUUAUUUCUGAUGAUCAUUGGCACAUGACUGCUAAGAGAGAAAGGAAUUCCCCACCUGGGAAACUCCUAAGAAAUUUCUAGGAAUGCCCUGUAUUUUGCCACCCCAGUUCUGGAGUGUGGGUAAAGUGAUUAAAACCUAUUAAAGUUAAGUUUUACCUCAAGAUGGUUCUUAGGAGCCAAAAGCCUGGACAAGAUUUUCCUGCAGCCUAGUGUUAAGGAUAAUUUUAGCAUUGUGACCUAAACUAUAUUAAUUAUUGGUCACCAUGGGAUAUCCCAAAUAAAAAAAAAAUACCCAAGUCAGCUUUAAAUUUAUGGUGAUUUAAUUAAUGUAGUGGAAAGAAAUUAAGAAAAAGGGAGAAGGAAAGGGUGUAGGAUUUCUCCCGCCUGGCUUGUGCAAGGGGGGAAGAUUAGAGGCUCUAGGAAGAUAAAGUUUUGGAGAGUAAAGGAGGAAGGAAUCAGCCUGAACUCCAAGAGAGCUCAGCCAAGGUGCCUGAACCUGAAUUAGCUCAAGGGCAAACUCACCGCCAAAAUCCAGACAAAUAGCUGCCACCACGCUAAGAUGUUGGAAUGCUUAGCAUGCUGCCAGCCAGAGCUACCUCUCCGGGGGAAAAAAAACUGCAAGGAAGCCCCGCAAAAAAACCUAGAUGCUUCUAUCUCACUUUCCUGUGUCUCCUCUGUACCAAUGGUAGCCGAGACCUUGACUUAGGACAGCCCAGGGGUCUGUCAGCUAUUCUGAUUUGUCAAUUUCUCUAUCAAAGGCCACUCUCUUAAAACUCAAUCCUCAAGCAUGGUUACAGACAUUUCCGAUUUUGUUAGACAAAGUAGGGUGGAGUAAUGCAAAGUUCCCAAGACAUCCCUGAUUUUCUAAGAAUAAGCAUCUUCCUUGUUACAAAUCAGGAGAUAGCUAAAUCCAAUCUUCACACUAGUAUCUGAAGGAUUCUUCAAGAAGACAUCUCUACGAGAAAUCCGAAGGAGCCCCCAAGAUACUGAAUCCAGAUAAGUAUUGUUUCUCAUCAUUUUCAUUGACUUUAGAAAUAUUUCUGUAGCAGACAUAAAACUGGCCAUUUCAUUUCCCCUGAAAAUUACAUUUACCCUGAGCAAAGUAGAGAACCUUGAAAGAAUAGAGCUAUUACCCAAAUUUAGUUGAAGUGGGAAAGUUUAAAUAGGACCAUUUUACCUUGUUAAGAGGUUUGAAACUAACAUCUGUUAAUUUGAGAAUUUGCAGCAAAGAUUCCAGAGUGCUAGUUUGUCUCAAAGUAGUAGAAUUUAGGGAAGAAUGAUGGAGCCUAAAAAUGAUUAUUAAUAACAGAAGGUAAUUUUAAAUCUGGAGCAUGAUUAGAGAGAAUUGCCAUCUAGGGUUGAAUUGUAUGGGAAGAUAAUUGGGAAAAGAAAUGCUAUGGAGAAAAUUGGUUAUUGAUACAGUCACAAGGGUGAAUGGAAGGGCUAAGUUUCUGUCAAGGUGACUGCUGAUCAUUGUCAAUUUAUGCAUGGCAUUAAUAUUCCAAAUUAUGGGAGCUUUUCUACCUCAUUUUAAGUUACUUCCCACUUUUCUCCUGUUAAUAACAAAUUUUCUGUAAUCGUAUGCUUAAGGAAGCCUCAGGAAGUCAAGGCAUAGAAUAUGGAAUUUGUGGAGGCAGAUAGAAAUUUUUAGCCAUUAUGAAUGAGUAAGCAAAUCAAAGAGGUCCCUUUUCUUAAAAGGAAGAGUUUAGGUCAUAAGGAAAACCUGGCAAAAUAUCAGUGCCAAAAAGGGGGGAAGCCUUGCACAUAAAUAGUAGAUUCUAAACAGCAUUUUUAAUAAACAAGGUUCUGAUAGAACACUGAAUGGCUCCCCAGUACCAGUAAAGUUUAUACAUUUUGUAUCUUCAAGGCAGGAAACAAUGAGAUUAGAGAAGCCUUUGUGCCUAGAAAUACUAAUGAAAUCACCUAUAGACUAGGCCUAAAUUAAAUGGUAAAUGAGCCUCAUUGCCAAUGAAUAAGUACUCAGGAAAAUGAAAUGUGUACCCAAAACUAACUCAGUCAAAUCAGGAGAAUUAUUUUAACAAAAAUUUUUAUGUACAGACUUUACAUUAGCUGACUCAGUUGCAACAUUAUUUUUUCAUAUUAGGUAAUAGUUAAUAGAAGUAAAAAGCCUAAAUUGUUUAAGCACAUGGUUAUGGCUGUUACGUAGUUAAAGGUGAAUGAAAAUGUUGGGCCCAGAUAAGAACUUAGGACCCCCAUAAACCACAAUCUAAGAGGAACAUUCCUUCCAGGAAGUCAGGCAGAACAGGAUGCACCAGAGCAGAACCCUAAUCUGCAACAGCCUGGUUACCCUUAUCAACCAGCAGCUGUAACCGGAAAACCAUUCCCUAUGCCUAUAGAACAGAAUAUAAACCCUGUAUCAACCCUUAGGUGGGGUCCAGACUUGUACUUUUGGUCCUGGACCCUAGCUGGAGCUAACAAUAAAGUUCCCCUUGUGAUUACAUUGUUGGUGUGGUGCCUUCCUUGCAAUCAGGAUUGAUUCUGGGAUGAACAAAAACAGUUUUUAAAUCCCUAGCAUCUCAACCUCCCCAAAGGGGGGGGUAUGUGAGGUGUGUAUGAGGUUUUAAAAUUAAGGAAAAUUAGAAGCAUUUUUAAGCUUGAGAAUUUUUGGAGUUCAUUUCAAUAUUGAAAUGUAAAUUUGACUUUUAAAAUAGUUUUGAAGCUGAAAUUGCCAUGCAGUCAUUUUAAUGUUGUUUUGGAUUUUGGGGUGAUAAAAUAUCUAGUUAGAAUUUUACUUGGUGCUAGACAAUAUUUUAAUUUUGGCCACAAAUAGGAGGUAGGGCCACUUCCAGAUUUACCAAGACCUGAAUAAUCUGUGAUGUGGAUUUUGCUUUUGCUUUUAGGGUUUUUAUAUUAUUACUUUGGUAAAGUAAGGCAAUCUUUCUGAUUAAGCAUGUAAAUUACAUAAUUUUAUAAUUGUGGAAAAGACAUUACUAAAAUUAAUGAUGGGAUUUGUAGAUUUAAGGUUAGCGAUAUGGAUAAUCUUUGUAGUGAGUAAGCAUAUAAGGAGUUGAUCAUAGUCCUGUUAAAGAAUGUGUUUAUGGAUUUCUCUUGUUUUCUCUAGCAGCAGCAAAGAAGCUGUCUGGUACAAAAGGAGGAGUCUGCAGCAGGACUGAAGUCUGCCGGGAGAGGAAGCUGAAGGCAUCAUAUCUGAACCCACCAGAUUUGAAAGACUUAAAAGACUUUGGGGAAAUGGGGUAGUGUUUUGAUUGUUAUUUUUUGCCAAAGGCAGACUGCCUGCCUUUCUGGCUCAAAUGUCAAUGCACCUGGGUCAUUGGGGAAUGCGCCUCCAAAUGCCAAUUGCCUGUGCCUGUACCCCCAAGGCUUUCCCAUCAUUUGUGAUGAGAGGGCAACCCCAUGUGGCAUUUCCCAUUUGUCUAUUUAUUUGGUCAUCGAUGUUCAGUCUUGACCAAAAGGGGGGGUGGUGUCAACAUGGAAUCUAGGAAUUGCAAACUUGUGGCCUAGUGGGAUCUGAUGAACCCCAAGUUUCAGGACUAGCUCAUAAAUUGGAGACCCCAAAGUUUGCACUUGUUCCCUGUUCCCAUGGGAAUCCACCCAGAAGGGAAUCUCAGGCUAGCAGUUUCAGACUGAGUGGGGGACCCUCUGGGGAAUGACAAUCCUAGUUGGGUGGGACUAAGCAUAUGCUAAGGACCCUUUAGUAUCCAUUGUAAGUAGCCCCUUCUCUUACACCCUAGACUCUAGCUAUGAUUCUUUUGUUUGAUUGUAUCCUGUCAGUGUAGUUUGAACACUCCUUUUCUUUGUAGCUAUGGUGAUGCCAAUCAUCUUUCCUUGUCCCCGGAACUCCCCAAAUGGUAUAUAGGAUCCCCAAAUUCUUUGUUCCCUGGAGUCGUCAUCUAGCAUGGUGGCACUCCCAGGGGUCAGUGACUAGAGUGGCCAGAGUUCAAUCUUCAGACUCUGUGCAGUCAUGUGUGGUGUGCAGCUCUGUUGUCGAGGCCUACUAGUGCUGAACCCCUUCUUUGCCCUUGAUUAAAGAGUGAUUUUGACUAUAAUAGUUCUGUGUUUUUUCCCAGUCGACAACUUAUUUUCAAAGAUUAAAGUGGAGAAUAGAGCCCAUUCAUUCAGAAGCUAAGCAUAUGGCAGAAUUAUGUCUUUUUGUGUUUACUAUCACACAAAACAUAUUUCCAUGUUGUUUAUUUUUGUAAGUGAAUAAUCUUAAGAAGCCCCAAACCCCAAACUACAUAACCUGUCAACUCAAUUUCUGGAAACCCCAAAUUUGCCUCUGCCCCUUGGAAACUUGCCUUUAGGGAAAGUCCCAAACUGACUUUUGUCUUAGAGGGAACAAUGGAUCACCAAGCAUCCAUUAAGUGUCCAGAAUAGGAAAUGAUAGAAAUGCUCAAAUCCUCAAUCACCCUUUUCAUCUUAGAAGUUUCCCCCCAUUCUAUCAGAAAUCCAUUCCCCAAAAGACCUGCAUAGGCAGGAACCAUCCUUUUUGUAUCCAGUGUAAGUUAGGCCACUCCCUGAUACCCUAGCCUCUAGCUACAGUCUCUUUCCCAAGCCUGCCUGUAACCAGUCAGUAUAUGUUUGCUGUACUAUAUUCCCUAAAAGAUACAUAAGUUCACACGCUCUAUUAUUCUUUGGAGAAUGAUCUUUGGUGGUGAUUCUCUCAGAGACACUGGCCCCAGAGCCCGGUAUUUAGAGUUGGUCUCUGUGUGGGAACUGAAUAUUAAAGACUUGUCUCUUUUCCUGAUUAAAGAUUUGGUUUUUCUGA
Non-coding RNA from Monodelphis domestica (gray short-tailed opossum), 7090 nucleotides. NCBI's taxonomy places the organism in Eukaryota, Metazoa, Chordata, Mammalia, Didelphimorphia, Didelphidae. The record is from RefSeq and is a predicted model, not a curated record.